GAGCACCAGUUCGGGUCAAAUACACAAUAAUCCUUGGCGGCGACGACAGUUCAGACUGGAGGGGGAAAUACCUUCAGGAAACUGGUUUUGUUUUGCGGCACGGGCCGACAGACAGAGGUAGAUUGUACAGUCUCUCAGGUCCUGUAGGAUCCCCUUCUUCCCAGCCUCUCCGCCAGUAAACAAACCCUGCCAGUGAGCCAGAUGGGCUUCUGGGGAAAUACGGACUGGAGCUUAUUGGAUUACACAACAAACUGAUCUCACUGUCAGAACCUCAAGAGUGGAACGGCAAACUACUGGCCCAAGUCUCAGGUUAACCGGAAAGACCUAUGUAAAGACACGACAUCACUUCCCUUGAGUUAAGACUACAAAACACCUGCUGCUCCAGUUGGACGCUUUUGCGUACAUCAUCAUAUUCCAGCCGAGAGAAGGAAAGACCAGUGAGGCCGACUGCUGCGAGGCACGUUUAAAAGAUUAUUCUCUAAAUGUAGAGGGAAAAAAUUCCAUUAUGGGCAGAGUGGCUCGUAGGCCCUCACUGUUUGUCUAGGUGAGCUAACCCCUCAAAUGCAAAAGCGAAAGUGGUGUGAAAACACCAUCGAUCCCAUGUAGCAGCAUGUCCGUUCAUGUGUAAAAGUACGACGACUGGGAACUAAUGAGCUGGGAUUUAUGGCAACGGUAUGUUGCAAAGCUCUCCUCUCCUCCAGAUGGCAUAAAAGUAAUAAAAUGAGCGGCAAUGUCAACAAUAUGGAGGUUAAAAAAAAAGAAAUUCCGCAAUUCACCAUCAUUUGCAUUAAAGUUCAUUUCUCUAUGAAACCAACAGAUGCAAACACAUCAUAUAAACGAGUGAAUGAAAUCCUCGCUGAGUGUAUUAAGAUUAAAAAAAUAAAUAAAUCUGAAUGUUGUGGAGCCUUUUCAAUCAACAGGUAACAGUUUAAAAUACAACCAGUCUAUUUGAGUGUUGAUAUAAA
This is a long non-coding RNA of Xiphias gladius (swordfish), 965 nucleotides long. RefSeq lists it as uncharacterized. Lineage: Eukaryota; Metazoa; Chordata; Actinopteri; Istiophoriformes; Xiphiidae. The transcript has 4 exons. The record is from RefSeq and is a predicted model, not a curated record.